Molecule: signal recognition particle RNA, 194 nt
Filed under: Schistosoma curassoni
Lineage: Eukaryota; Metazoa; Platyhelminthes; Trematoda; Strigeidida; Schistosomatidae
Description: Metazoan signal recognition particle RNA
Rfam family: Metazoan signal recognition particle RNA
About the family: The signal recognition particle (SRP) is a universally conserved ribonucleoprotein.
Source: Rfam by way of RNAcentral
GCUGGGCGUGGUGGCGUGCGCCUGUAAUCUAGCUACUUGGAGGCCAGGGUGCGGGAUUUCGUGGGACCGGGAGUUCUGGCAUAUGGGUGCUCAUGUUGAUCGGGCGUCCACGCUAAGCACGGCGCCGAUAUGGAUGACCUGUCGGAGGAUGGGUUGUCCAGGUCGUCUAAGGAGGGGCGGACCGGCCCAGGGGG